AUCAUGACAGAGCAAGAAGAAGAAAGUCAAAUGUCCACAUGAGUUCCCUUUAACGCUUCAUUGUUGAAUACUCAAAGCCACAUUGGUUUGUAUAUAACACUGAAGUGUUUGGGGGGACUCUUGGUGUCAUUCUGGCGUUGAAGUGGCCACC
RNAcentral lists this unclassified non-coding RNA (151 nucleotides) under Arabidopsis thaliana (thale cress). RNAcentral describes it as "partial MIR395c microRNA precursor". The stretch from base 31 to 130 matches the Rfam family "mir-395 microRNA precursor family". Rfam says of the family: mir-395 was identified in both Arabidopsis thaliana and Oryza sativa computationally and was later experimentally verified. mir-395 is thought to target mRNAs coding for ATP sulphurylases. The mature sequence is excised from the 3' arm of the hairpin. The record is from RNAcentral. Lineage: Eukaryota; Viridiplantae; Streptophyta; Magnoliopsida; Brassicales; Brassicaceae.